Long non-coding RNA from Equus caballus (horse), 3294 nucleotides. RefSeq lists it as uncharacterized. NCBI's taxonomy places the organism in Eukaryota, Metazoa, Chordata, Mammalia, Perissodactyla, Equidae. The record is from RefSeq and is a predicted model, not a curated record.
UCCUCAGCAAAAAAGAGGAGGAUUGGCAGCAGAAGUUAGCUCAGGGCUAAUCUUCCACAAAACAAACAAAAAAUUGAUAACUUGAUGUAUUAAUCUGUCACAAUAUAGCCUUUUGAUGAUUAUCAGCCACCAUCAUCAUCUACAUCCAUAUGGCCAUGAGCAGCAAACUGUUCCAAGUCUUCUGCGGUUAGAUCAUCAGGUUGGGACCCUAGAAGCUCUUCAACAUCUUCAUUUUCUACCUCCUCAAAUCCAACCUGUUCUCCUAAAUCAACACAUCUUGUUUUGAUUUUCAAAAGUUUCUCUGAAGGAUCACAUCCUUCAAAACUACACAUCAAGAGGAAUUUUCCAUGAUACACAACGCAAGCGCUCUGGUCCUAUCACUCCAGGCUUCUGCAGUGGCAGCAACAGCCAUUCCUACGUUAAAUCUCUCCCAAAAUUCCGUAACUGUAUUGGCAUCCUCACCUUCAAUAACAGCAAUGAGCACCUUAAAUGGCCACUUUCAACAGUAAGCCAUAAAUACUACUAUCACCUUUUUAUCAAGGGGCUGUCUGCAAAGGUGGUUUUCAAGGGAAAAAAAGGAAAAAAGGGAAGAAAAAGUUUGGGUUUAGCUUUUAUAGAGGGCUAGGCUUGAUGAAUUAUGAGAAUUUUAAAAGCUAAGUUUUAUGGAAAAACACAUAGGGUUUUUUUUUUCAAUAACCCUCUACAACAGAGAAGAAUUAAGUAACAACAUCAGUGCAGAUUUGGGCAGGCCAUCCAUUUUUGCUAUACCUGUAGCGAACUCCAAGGCUGACUGAGAAUUUCUUUUAAAAGGCUCAGUUUGAUCUGAGUCUUUUGAUGCAUGCAUUCAUAACAGAUACCUGUUCCAUCAAGACUGAGAAUUUAAUUCAGUGUGUGGCCGCCUUCUUCAGUUUGCUUCUUACCACUGCUGGAAAAUUCUUCUGCAGCUUUCCCAUCUGCACUCAUAGCUUCAUGUGACAGUUGAUGGCUUAGGAAUUUACAGCAUUGUUUGAAACCACUAACGCAACCAUUACCGGCACUAAAAGAGGAUUGAUCAUCAUUAAAUUCAUCUUCCUCAUACGGCUCUGAAGAAGAAGAUAAUUUUCUUUUCCUGGGUCCACCACCUUCUAAAACAGAGGAGGACACUCAAUGUUUGCACAGAUAUCAUAAGAAUCAUUAAUGCAAUACAAAGGCAGAAUGUUAUAAUGAGUACAUCUGUAGACAGUUCUCUUGACAUCAAGCCCAAUGUCAUUUCCUCUACAUGUAGCAUAUACUCAAUAAAUGUCAAGUGAAUUGAAGAAAAAGUGAACAGAGACUCUUUUUCAGUCUUUCAAAAGUAGAAAUCACUGUAAAAACGUAUCUGUAAACCAUCACAUUAUUCAAUGCUGAAAAUAUACAUCUCUAAACUGACUAGUAAUUUUACAGAACAACACUGGGAGGAAGGGGUUCUGCCCAGUGACUGAGCGUUCAGCAGUGAAAAAGCAGAGCCCCAUCACUGUGGUUAUCUGAAUACAUUACUGACGCCAAUCAUUGUGUCUACUACGGACCAGGCUUUGCAGAAGGCGUUUUUAACUGUUGUUUCAUUUAGAUUCCACAACGAACCUACAAAGUAGGUAAUAUUCUCAUUUUCUAAAUGAGGAGGAACCGAGAUAUUGAGAGCUCAAGCGAGUCACGCUCUUAACCUAAAAAUAAGAGAGUACAACGGCAAUAGGAAAUUUGCAUAUUUUGUCACGGCUGAAAGAAAAACUCAAUUUACAUAUCUUAAGCAGUUAUGUAACAUAUUUAUACUUUGUACACAUUUAUCUAUUUCUUAAAUACUUUCACUUUCAGAGAGCAAAUUCCAGAGAUAUAUUGCUGUGCUAGUAUGAAAGCAUCUGCUAUAUGUAUAUGGUGAUGGAUGGCAAUUAGUUUUUAGGUGGUGAACAUGAUGUAAUAUAUACAGAAACUGAAAUAUAAUGAUGUACACCUGAAAAAAAGAAUAAAAAAUAAGUCCAAAUGCAAAAAAAAAGUUACCAGAAUACGUAAGAUCUAAAUGGUAAAGGAAAAGGGCACCUCUGCCUGGUGGUGUGUGCUUUCACACUCAAAGUAAUGAAUGAGGCAACAUGCUACAAUUCAAAGUGACUGAGAUCGUAGGAUCAAAACCUCAUGGGUUUGAAUCCAAGCACCAUCACUUAGUGUGUGACUUUAGCAGAAUUAUCUAAUUUAUCUAAGCCCUAAUAUAUUCAUCUGUAAAAUUCUGAAUAAUGACAGCUAUUUCACAGACAUCUUGUGAUAAUUAAAAGACACAAUAAAUAAGAAUGUAGUUGGCAUAUAAGUAGAUAAUACAUAAUUAUUUUCUUCCCCCCCAAAAAGAAAGCAUCUGCUAAAGCUUAUAAUGGUUUCAGAUUUCAGUAUUAAUUAUAUUAGUCCUCUAUGCAAUUAGAAAUAAAAUGUGUAGAAAUAGAAUAUUCAAAAUGAAUACAAACAUGACACCUUUUAAGUUGUAAGCCUAAAAAUUUCAUAAUAUGGCUAUAAUGAAAUUAAAUGCCAUUAAUAUUUUAUAGUAAUUACACGUUAGUAUGAAUGCUUAAAUUUUUUUCUCCCAAUUUGCUUCAUAAAGUAAAUGUUCAUUCUACAUAUGCCAACUAAUUUCCAGCAUCUGCUUUAAAAAGGGCUAAAUAUAAGCACCAUUCCACCAUCACCUAUAUGAUCAGCACCAUCCCAUCAUCACCUAUCUAUUUGCUGAGGACAGGUGAGUACUGCUCGUAAAUAAGUCUGAGAAAAGCUUCAAACUAGAAGAUUUAUGCCAUGUCACCAAGCCAUGUUUAAUUCUUUCCUAAAAGGAACAAGAGCUUUGCUUUGUCAAUAAAAAACUCUCGAGUUUUAGUUAUCUGCUUAUACAUGGUUUUUGUUUUGUUAAUAUUAUGUCAUCAAAUCUUCACACAGAUAUGAAAUGGCUACAAGGCAAAAAUCUGCAAAUAAAUGUGGGAGAAAAUGUACAACUAAAAUUUUAGUACAAAAGGUUACAUAAGAGCACACAAUGCUCAGUUAUCUACAUCUAAAUCUAUUCUACUUAUAAUUAUCAAUUAAAAAUUUUGCAUAUAUCUAAAGAAAACAAGUUAAUAUUCUACACUAAAUACCACUUCUAAAUUAUGUAUUUCACAAAUUCUCAUCUUUUAUUGGGAAUCCCCAUCAUCAAUUUCAGGGGGAAAAAAAAACUAAGUUAGGGAUGUAUCUCACACUCCAGAUAAAAAUAAAUUUCACCUAAAUACAAUAGUCAAAAAUGAAAAAUAAAACAUGAAAUUAAAGAAAAUAUGA